Molecule: long non-coding RNA, 362 nt
Organism: Hevea brasiliensis (rubber tree)
Lineage: Eukaryota; Viridiplantae; Streptophyta; Magnoliopsida; Malpighiales; Euphorbiaceae
Exons: 2
Source: RefSeq, a predicted model, not a curated record
UUUCUUGAUGAUAUGGGCACUUUUUAUUUUGGAACUAGUACUACUAGCUUGUGUGAGUGCAGUGGCUCUGUGUGGUGCUUGUUUGCUUGUGCAUGAGAAUCAAGUUUCAUUGACAUAAUGAGAGCUACAUUUAUAGCCUGUAAGAUCUCCAAGCUAGACUGCAAGAAUAAAGAAACAGAAAGCUAGUUUGUUUUGUUCUAGUAAAAACUAAUGCAGAAAUGUGUUACAGCUGCAUGGUACAUAUAGUGUUGCACCGAUGUCUUAUUGAUAUUCACUGCAUUUUAAGGUGUUUGAAUUGGUGUUGUAUAAUUUAUGAGUAGAUGCUGGUAAAGUUCACAUUGAGCCAAAAUUCUCUUUUUUCA